CCUACGGGAGGCAGCAGUGAGGAAUAUUGGUCAAUGGGCGAGAGCCUGAACCAGCCAAGUCGCGUGAAGGAUGACGGCCCUACGGGUUGUAAACUUCUUUUGUCAGGGAGCAAUUGAGUCCACGUGUGGUCUUAGCGAGAGUACCUGAAGAAAAAGCAUCGGCUAACUCCGUGCCAGCAGCCGCGGUAAUAAGGAGGAUGCGAGCGUUAUUCGGAUUUAUUGGGUUUAAAGGGUGCGUAGGCGGAAUAUCAAGUCAGCGGUAAAAAUUCGGGGCUCAACCCGGUAGUGCAGUUGAAACUGAUGAUCUGGAGUGGGCGAGAAGUAUGCGGAAUGCGUGGUGUAGCGGUGAAAUGCAUAGAGAUCACGCAGAACUCCGAUGGCGAAGGCAGCAUACCGGCGCCCAACUGACGCUGAAGCACGAAAGCGUGGGUAUCGAACAGGAUUAGAUACCCGUGUAGUC
Molecule: ribosomal RNA, 460 nt
Filed under: uncultured bacterium
Lineage: Bacteria
Description: partial 16S ribosomal RNA
Rfam family: Bacterial small subunit ribosomal RNA
Source: RNAcentral